UUUUCAUUUCAUCUGGGAAAAGCCAUCUUUUUCUCAACAAUGUCUUUGUCAUUUGAUCAAAUAGUGUUCCGUUAGAUAGGAACAAAUUUGACAAAUACUGAUAACUCUCGGAUAGAAUAUUAGAACGGAAAGAUCCAUUAGAUAAUGAACUAUUGGUUCUAAGCCAUCUCUGACAAUUAAUCUACAAUUCGAAGUGCUUUUCUUGUGUAUUCUCGAUAAACCAGCAUUUAUAUAUAGAUGUAGGAAGAUCUGUUUGGGAAGUAAGAAGCCCCUUUGACAUCUCUUCAUCUGCAAAUAAUUCUCGAUGUGAAAACACAGAGCCAGGGGGUUGAUCUUUAAAUAGGAAAAAGAGUGGAUCUGCAGGGUCCCAAAUGAAUUGGCUUAUUCGAAAAAGGCCUUGUUCUUUGGAAGAUCUAUCUCACGUCUGAUACUGCAUGGUUCUACUCUGCAAGAACUCCAAAUCAUUCUCUUGAAGCUCAUCCUCUUCAUCAUAAAUGAUCCACUUGCCCCGAGCUUUCGUCUCUCAGUGUCAGUGUCGGCCCAGUAGAGUGCUUUCAUCGUUGGUGUUCUUUCUGAUCUCUAUGCAUUUCGCCGCUCCACUGAAAAUUUCCUCUGCCCCUACCGUACUCCAGCUUGGUAGUUUUCAGCCCCUAUCCAGGGUUGAGCCCUGGGAUUUGAUGACGAACUUAAAAAGCCAACUACAGAUGCUUUAUGCCCAAUCAUUUCGGAUAACGCUUGCAUCCUCUGUCUUAUCGCGACUGCUGGCAUAGAGUUAGCCGAUGCUUAUUCCCCAGAUACCGUCAUUGCUUCUUCUUUGGGAAAAGAAGUUCACGACCCGUGGGCCUUCUACCUCUACGUGGCAUUGUUCCGUCAGGCUUUCACCCAUAUUUUGAUUGUUAAUACGAUAUAUAAGGACCGCUACUACAAAGAGUGUUACACCCUUGAUCCUGAAAUAUCGAUUGCUUGUUGACCCCUGUGAAUUGCGUGAAAGUAGGAUACUCCGAAUUCGGGGGUCAAAGAAAG
This 1023-nucleotide long non-coding RNA is filed under the name Olea europaea subsp. europaea. Lineage: Eukaryota; Viridiplantae; Streptophyta; Magnoliopsida; Lamiales; Oleaceae. The record is from RNAcentral.